This 259-nucleotide long non-coding RNA is filed under the name Astyanax mexicanus (Mexican tetra). Its description in RNAcentral is "lncRNA (ENSAMXG00005018526.1)". Lineage: Eukaryota; Metazoa; Chordata; Actinopteri; Characiformes; Acestrorhamphidae. The record is from RNAcentral.
GAUGGGUUCGGCUGCUGGAUCACUACCUAAACCUCUGACUAUGAUGUCUAUUUGAUGUCUGUGGAUGUUCAAGAGCAGUUUACUACUUGGAACUCUUAUUAGGACCUCUGAUAAACAUCUGUGGGCAUGCAAUACUGGUUUACUGCUUGGACCUUUGACUAGGACUUCUUUUGGACAUCUGUGGAUGUGCAAGAUGAGCUCACAACCUGGACCUCUGACUAGAAGCUUUCCAUGCCUACCUUCACGCAGCAGCUUGUAA